UACGUAGGGUGCAAGCGUUAAUCGGAAUUACUGGGCGUAAAGCGUGCGCAGGCGGUUAUGCAAGACAGAUGUGAAAUCCCCGGGCUCAACCUGGGAACUGCAUUUGUGACUGCAUAGCUAGAGUACGGUAGAGGGGGAUGGAAUUCCGCGUGUAGCAGUGAAAUGCGUAGAUAUGCGGAGGAACACCGAUGGCGAAGGCAAUCCCCUGGACCUAUACUGACGCUCAUGCACGAAAGCGUGGGGAGCAAACAGG
RNAcentral lists this ribosomal RNA (253 nucleotides) under uncultured bacterium. RNAcentral describes it as "partial 16S ribosomal RNA". It matches the Rfam family "Bacterial small subunit ribosomal RNA", at positions 524 to 776 of the family's 1533-position model. The record is from RNAcentral.